CCAGUUUCCAUACAAUCACUGAAGUUAAGCAAUGUCAAGCCUGGUGAGUACCUAGAUGAGUGACCACUUGAGAAUACCGGGUGCUGUAAG
This is a non-coding RNA of Acanthosepion pharaonis, 90 nucleotides long. The record is from the annotation of a GenBank genome assembly. NCBI's taxonomy places the organism in Eukaryota, Metazoa, Mollusca, Cephalopoda, Sepiida, Sepiidae.